RNAcentral lists this unclassified non-coding RNA (206 nucleotides) under soil metagenome. Its description in RNAcentral is "partial contains 5.8S ribosomal RNA, internal transcribed spacer 2, and large subunit ribosomal RNA". The record is from RNAcentral.
AAGACUAUAGACCUGCGGAGUACCUGCGGAAGGAUCAUUAACGUUGGGGACUAACAAUCCCUCAGCGGGAUAGAACCCUUGCCUUUUCGAGUACCACACGUUUCCUCGGCAGGUACGCCUGCCAAUGGGGACCACAACAAAACCUUUUGUAAUAGCAGUAAACGUCUUAAAAACAAAACUUUUAAAACUUUCAACAAUGGAUCUCU